CGGAUGUAGCAAUACAUCAGUGGCAGACGGGUGAGUAACACGUGGGAACCUUCCUCGUUGUACGGGACAACUCAGGGAAACUUGAGCUAAUACCGUAUACGUCCGAGAGGAGAAAGAUUUAUCGCAAUGAGACGGGCCCGCGUCGGAUUAGCUAGUUGGUAGGGUAACGGCCUACCAAGGCGACGAUCCGUAGCUGAUCUGAGAGGAUGAUCAGCCACACUGGGACUGAGACACGGCCCAGACUCCUACGGGAGGCAGCAGUGGGGAAUCUUGGACAAUGGGCGCAAGCCUGAUCCAGCCAUGCCGCGUGAGUGAAGAAGGCCUUAGGGUUGUAAAGCUCUUUUGCCAGGGACGAUAAUGACGGUACCUGGAGAAUAAGCCCCGGCAAACUUCGUGCCAGCAGCCGCGGUAAUACGAAGGGGGCUAGCGUUGUUCGGAUUUACUGGGCGUAAAGCGCACGUAGGCGGGUCGUUAAGUCAGGGGUGAAAUCCCGGANCUCAACUCCGGAACUGCCUUUGAUACUGGCGACCUUGANGCUGGAANANGUUAGUGGAAUUCCCAGUGUANAGGUGAAAUUCNUANAUAUUGGGAAGAACACCNGUGGCGAAAGCGNCUAACUGGUCCANAUCUGACGCUGANGUGCGAAAGCGUGG
RNAcentral lists this ribosomal RNA (653 nucleotides) under Rhizobiales bacterium URHD0067. RNAcentral describes it as "bacterial SSU rRNA". It matches the Rfam family "Bacterial small subunit ribosomal RNA", at positions 67 to 764 of the family's 1533-position model. The record is from RNAcentral. Lineage: Bacteria; Pseudomonadati; Pseudomonadota; Alphaproteobacteria; Hyphomicrobiales.